GCCACAAGAAAACAGAGACUCCACUCACGUCAGAUCAUCUCUCUCCUCCCUCCUCGCCUCCUCCUCCUCCUCCUCCUCUUCUGCUUCGUCUGCGUUUCCUUUCUCCUUCGUCUACUCAUUCCCUUUUUCUCUUUCGACGGAGCCGCGGUCGAGCCAGCGGUGCCUGAUUUGGCUCGAUCGAAAAGGGGCGGAGCCAGAUGUGGCUGCCUGUGCAGCGGAUCAUCGUUCACGGUACGGAGAGACAGAGGAAGGUGGGCGACUGGACUGCACACGGCGGCGGAGGCGAGGCGAGGCGGACGGACAGUGUGUUGGUGACAGAUUCGAGGGCUUGCUGGAUAGAGUUCAAGGCGGGCUCUUCGAUGCUUCGUGCGGGAUCAUCCUGGGUACAAGGUAAGAAAGCUUGAGGCUUGAAGAGAAGAGGGUUUACAAGAGGGUGAGGAGGAAGAAGAGAGAAGUGAGAUCUAAAAAUUUCGAGUCCCUUCCUCUUGUGUUGAGAGGGUGCAUUUAUAGUGGGUGCUACAGUAAAAGUGCUACAGUGUUGAACAAUGUAAAAGUGAAUAGUGAAUAGUGAACAGUGAAUGCCUAUUUUGCUAUAGUGUAUAGCUUUUGCGCCGCUGUAACAGUGUCAGCAUGUGAUGUCUUGGCUUUAGUCUCUGUCUAGGUUGAUCCCGUAGCAGUCGUCUUCAUUGGUGUUUCCACUAUGAUGCGACUGUGAGGAUCCGUCUUGACUAUCUUGAGAUUUGGAAGAUUCACAUUAUGAUUCGUCCGCUUCCAAGAGCAUUGUCCUGAGGAUGUUUGUCAAUCUCUUAUACUUUCUUGUUUUAUGGGUUAA
Molecule: long non-coding RNA, 832 nt
Organism: Eucalyptus grandis
Lineage: Eukaryota; Viridiplantae; Streptophyta; Magnoliopsida; Myrtales; Myrtaceae
Exons: 2
Source: RefSeq, a predicted model, not a curated record